GAGAGAAAGAGAGGGGAAAAAAGAAGACGAAUCAAAAUUCGACUAUCCUCGAUUUAACUGCGGCCAAUUUCCAGCUGAAAACCAUCUCUUGGCGAUCAUGAAAAUUACCGGUUACCCGAAUGACCCUGCGUGACGAGUGUUGGGAUUCAAGCAUACUAUAACUCACGGAAAUAUGCCACCAUUUGUAAGGAACUUUUAUAAACGUAUUACGUGUGUUAUAUUUGGAGCAUUUUGGAAUUUCGCUAGCGCUAUAAUGACGCAGAACCAACAUGAUUAUAUCGUAAUCAGCCUCGAUGCUCACUAUUAUUACGUUACGAAGCAUCCAAGUACUAAGUACUAAGUACAAAG
This 348-nucleotide unclassified non-coding RNA is filed under the name Bombus terrestris (buff-tailed bumblebee). RNAcentral describes it as "misc RNA ENSBTSG00005027630.1". Lineage: Eukaryota; Metazoa; Arthropoda; Insecta; Hymenoptera; Apidae. The record is from RNAcentral.